AUUGAACGCUGGCGGCAGGCUUAACACACGCAAGUCGAGCGGAGACUUCGGUCUUAGCGGCGAACGGGUGAGUAAUACCUAGGAAUCUGCCUAUUAGUGGGGGAUAACGAAUCGAAAGGUUCGCUAAUACCGCAUACGUCCUACGGGANAAAGGGGGGGAUCUUCGGACCUCUCGCUAAUAGAUGAGCCUAGGCCGGAUUAGCUAGUUGGUAGGGUAAAGGCCUACCAAGGCGACGAUCUGUAGCUGGUCUGAGAGGAUGGCCAGCCACACUGGAACUGAGACACGGUCCAGACUCCUACGGGAGGCAGCAGUGGGGAAUAUUGGACAAUGGGGGCAACCCUGAUCCAGCCAUGCCGCGUGUGUGAAGAAGGCCUUCGGGUUGUAAAGCACUUUAAGCGAGGAGGAAGGUUUUUAGUUUAAUACACUAAAGAAUUGACGUUACUCGCAGAAUAAGCACCGGCUAACUCUGUG
This 472-nucleotide ribosomal RNA is filed under the name uncultured bacterium. RNAcentral describes it as "bacterial SSU rRNA". It matches the Rfam family "Bacterial small subunit ribosomal RNA", at positions 30 to 507 of the family's 1533-position model. The record is from RNAcentral.